Molecule: long non-coding RNA, 3156 nt
Filed under: Sus scrofa (pig)
Lineage: Eukaryota; Metazoa; Chordata; Mammalia; Artiodactyla; Suidae
Description: lncRNA (ENSSSCG00000052527.1)
Source: RNAcentral
AGUGUAGGAAAAGUGAUGUGGUAUUUGCACUGGCCUCAAACCUAGCUGAGAUGAAAACCAGAUAUAGUCUGCAGUCAAUAUCCUGUCUGGAAACUGCCGUUUUAUCUCCUCUCCCCAAAGCAGCUUCCAUCCCUUUAGCUUUGCUGGCCUCGCUCACUAUGCCCACCGGUGGCUCCAGAGCCUGCAGGGUUUUGUUGGUCCAUUAUUUCGGAGGCCUCUGUCCUCUCUAGAAUUAUAUUUCUCAUACUUCCGUUUGAAGCCAUGCUGGUUCAUUGUUAUCUAAUAGCCAUAGUGCUAUACAUUUUUACUAAGCCAACCAAAGCAAAAUGCUUAAAGUCUUGAGAAAUCCCAAAUUCUCAUAAAUAGGGAAGGUUCCCACAACUUCAGGUAGUAAAGCACCCAAUAUUCUGCAUUGCUCAGAACCCCAUGGCACUGACUAUAGAAUAAGAAUAGUGAGCUCUUACAGCCUGGAAGUAAGCAAAAAUCUUGAGGGAUGAAUGCUUUUAAACUUCUGCAUUGCUUAUGGAAACACUUCAUAAUUCCCCAAACCUAACCCAUCAUAACCCUCGAAGUAAUGCUCCCAAUGCAUUCCCUCGAUACUUCCACUCCCUAAUGCUGAUAAAAAAAGAAUUUGAAAAUAAUAAGCUGACUCUAAUAAGGGGUUUGUUUACUAAUGUAAUGGAAUUUAUUUAUAAAUAUGAUAGGGAAUUUGGUACAUCUCAUUCUUGUGACCUGUGAGUUGAAGCUGUGACAGCCACCUCAUCCUUCAUUCAUCUUUGGCCUGUGGGAUCAGGAGCCAGUUGUUACGGCAGAAGUCACUCACAUACCUUUGAGCAACUUCCCCUAUUGGAGCCACAGAUGAGAACCGAGGAAGAGGAAUAAGGCCUGAGUGCUCAAGGUGGACACCAACAAGACCUGCAUGCAAAGCCCUGGAUGUCCAAAGAUUCAGAGCCCUUAGCAUCCAAGCAGCUGGCAUUCUCAUUGUACUUCCAAACUGCUCUUUUUAAUGUGUGGCUUAGAAUUACACGUAAAAGCAAGGGUUUCCUGGUCCCUAACUUCUUUGUGGGAGAGAGACUGAGCAGCAAGGAGCACCAAAGAAUAAGUCAGUCCAUUUUAAAUAUAAGCUUUUUAAGUUUUCAUGGCAACUGUAACCAUCCUGGCCUUGAGUGAAGCUCCCAAGGGAUCCACUCUUGUAGAAGAUCAGUCAGUCCCUUUCCUGAUAACGAAGGGUAAAAAGAAUGUUUAACCUCAUUGUCCUUGUGAUGAGCGUGGUGGAGAAUAUGCAAUCAGGAAGCAGGUGUGUUUGAGGAAUGGAAAGGUCAUCUCAGAUGACUGGAGGAAGAUGGGGUUCUGGAGGUGAGGACAGGAAAGCUCAGCACUUUUACAAAAGCUGCCACAAAUACCUUAUCCCAUCCUAACGGUCUGUUCUGGGUACCUCAUAAGCUUUUGGAUUUCAUCCUAAGGACAGUGUACAGAUGUGAACGUGUAGAUGGAGAAGGUGGGGCAUGAAGCCAGACGUGUUUGAAAAGCAACUCCAGAAACCAUCUCCAUUUUGCAAAGGAGGAAAAUGAAACUCAAAGUGAUUUGCCUAAAAUCACACAGCUAAAGAGUGGUCAGCCAGGAUGUCGGAACCAAAAUAGCCUCAUUCUCUUUCGAGUUUUUUUGUUUGUUUGUUUUGUUUUGUUUUUUCCAUUUGGACUUCCUUUUGCAUAAUGUUGCCAAAUACUAUGAACAAUAGUGUAGGAUGCAGGAUCUUUAUAGACAGCAACAGACACAGCAAAUGUAAUUUGGUUAUCUAGCUAAGUUUGAUCAAGAUUUCACAAAACUGCCAGCACUUGAGCAAACCAGAAGUACAUUGGCAUUUUCAGAAUGAUUACAAAUUUUCCUGAGAUAGAAGGUGCACAAGCAAAUGUUAUUACAGUACAGGCCCACACUGUAUUCAAUGCCACAGAGACUGCAGUCGAGAAAAUGAGUAAGGUGUACACUCCGUCCUACUGGGUCAUAAACUCUUUGGGAAUCUAUUUUUGCUUAUCAUUCUCUUGUGUAUUUUUGUUAACUAUACUGUAAGAUAAAGAUACUGCAUUGUUGCAAAGGGAAAAAGAUUGCAUCUGGCCUGGGGGAUCAGGAGAGCUGAAGCAGGAGGUGGCAUAGGAAGCUGGUGUUUAAAUACUAUCCACCUUUCAUAAAAACUAACAUUAUGGAACACUAAUAGUGUGCAAUAACCUUUGCAACAUUAUUUUGUUUAAUCCUGAUAACAACCUUGGGAAGAAGUACACUUACUUCACAGAUUUAAUUUGUCAGAGCAGAUGCUACAGGUGCCCUCACCGUGUGGCUUUGGGGGAGGGGUCAGCUCCUACUGUCACUGGCUGCCAGCUGGUUACCCUGACCUUUCUCAUGAGGACUACUAUUGGCCCACAGGAGAAGCCUCACCUGGAGACGUAAUGUGGAAGGCAAAGUCAAGGAAAUCUGACAACAAGAAAAUAGGAAAAAUAAGCUGAUGAGAGACAUGACUCUUGGGUUUCCUGGAUUGACCUUUUAUCAUGAACAUUUCAUUAAAAGAGACUCUUUAAAAUUUUUAUUUUAGUAGAGAAUAGAAAAUGGUUCAUUUUAAAAAUGAAUUGCUUUAAAGUGCCUCCAGGUGAUGAGAAGAAAUAAUGGGGGGAAAGUCACCCACAGACAUCACCUAGUGAAAUUUCAGGCCUUAAAGAUGUCAAGAAUCCUUGGCUAAAUCCUACAACUUUCUAGAGGGAACAUGCACACAAAGUUUGGAAGGAAAAUGAUUCUGAACCUAGAAUUCUAUGCCCAGUUUACUGGUAUUAUGUUGAGAACAAAAUAACAAUGCUCUUGAACAUGCAAAAACCCGACUGGACUGGAUGUAUAAUUUGUGGCACUUGGUACAAAAUAAAAGUGUGGGUUCCCUUGUUUAAAAAUAUUAAGAAUUUUAAGGAGUUCCUGUCAUGGCUCAGCAGAAAUGGAUCUGACUAGUAUCCAUGUGGACACAGGUUCAAUCCCUGCAUCGCUCAGUGGAUUAUGGAUCCAGCAUUGCCGUGAGCUGUGGUGUAGGUCGCAGAUGCGGCUCAGAUCUCACGUUGCUGUGGCUGGCAGCUACAGUUCCAAUUCGACCCCUAGCCUGGCAACCGCCAUAUGCCACAGGCC